Molecule: ribosomal RNA, 173 nt
Filed under: uncultured Chloroflexota bacterium
Lineage: Bacteria; Bacillati; Chloroflexota
Description: uncultured Chloroflexi bacterium partial 16S ribosomal RNA
Rfam family: Bacterial small subunit ribosomal RNA
Source: RNAcentral
ACUCCUACGGGAGGCAGCAGUAAGAGAUAUUGCACAAUGGGCGCAAGCCUGAUGCAGCAACGCCGCGUGCGGGAUGAAGGUCUUCGGAUCGUAAACCGCUUUUAUCAGGGAAGAGGCAGGACGGUACCUGAUGAAUCAGUCUCGGCUAACUACGUGCCAGCAGCCGCGGUAAU